Molecule: ribosomal RNA, 225 nt
Filed under: Calathus distinguendus
Lineage: Eukaryota; Metazoa; Arthropoda; Insecta; Coleoptera; Carabidae
Description: partial 28S ribosomal RNA
Source: RNAcentral
GUAUGAGCGUUCAGAUCCAUAACAAAUUCUUUAUAUGGUUAUAAUAGUGGAAAUCGGAUUUAAUGCCGAUUCUACACAUAUGGUAUUGAUAGUUGUGGUAUUCUCGAACCGUUCUUUAUCAUCAGUCAACGGCGUUUAUGUUUUGGGUAAUUACAGGACCCGUCUUGAAACACGGACCAAGGAGUCUAGCAUGUGCGCAAGUCAUUGGGACUUUNUGAAACCUAA